ACUCCUACGGGAGGCAGCAGUGGGGAAUAUUGCACAAUGGGCGCAAGCCUGAUGCAGCCAUGCCGCGUGUAUGAAGAAGGCCUUCGGGUUGUAAAGUACUUUCAGCAGUGAGGAAGGUGGGUAUGUUAAUAGCAUAUUCAUUUGACGUUAGCUGCAGAAGAAGCACCGGCUAACUCCGUGCCAGCAGCCGCGGUAAUACGGAGGGUGCGAGCGUUAAUCGGAAUUACUGGGCGUAAAGCGCAUGCAGGUGGUUUGUUAAGUCAGAUGUGAAAGCCCGGGGCUCAACCUCGGAAUUGCAUUUGAAACUGGCAAACUAGAGUACUGUAGAGGGGGGUAGAAUUUCAGGUGUAGCGGUGAAAUGCGUAGAGAUCUGAAGGAUACCGGUGGCGAAGGCGGCCCCCUGGACAGAUACUGACACUCAGAUGCGAAAGCGUGGGGAGCAAACAGGAUUAGAUACCCUGGUAGCUCUGC
RNAcentral lists this ribosomal RNA (471 nucleotides) under uncultured bacterium. RNAcentral describes it as "bacterial SSU rRNA". It matches the Rfam family "Bacterial small subunit ribosomal RNA", at positions 335 to 798 of the family's 1533-position model. The record is from RNAcentral.